AGUGAACGCUGGCGGUAGGCCCAACACAUGCAAGUCGAACGGCAGCACAGAGGAGCUUGCUCCUUGGGUGGCAAGUGGCGGACGGGUGAGGAAUACAUCGGAAUCUACUCUGUCGUGGGGGAUAACGUAGGGAAACUUACGCUAAUACCGCAUACGACCUACGGGUGAAAGCAGGGGACCUUCGGGCCUUGCGCGAUUGAAUGAGCCGAGUUCGGAUUGGCUAGUUGGCGGGGUAAAGGCCCACCAAGGCGACGAUCCGUAGCUGGUCUGAGAGGAUGAUCAGCCACACUGGAACUGAGACACGGUCCAGACUCCUACGGGAGGCAGCAGUGGGGAAUAUUGGACAAUGGGCGCAAGCCUGAUCCAGCCAUACCGCGUGGGUGAAGAAGGCCUUCGGGUUGUAAAGCCCUUUUGUUGGGAAAGAAAUCCAGCUGGCUAAUACCCGGUUGGGAUGACGGUACCCAAAGAAUAAGCACCGGCUAACUUCGUGCCAGCCGCCGCGGUAA
RNAcentral lists this ribosomal RNA (506 nucleotides) under uncultured bacterium. RNAcentral describes it as "partial 16S ribosomal RNA". It matches the Rfam family "Bacterial small subunit ribosomal RNA", at positions 29 to 523 of the family's 1533-position model. The record is from RNAcentral.